RNAcentral lists this long non-coding RNA (1408 nucleotides) under Salvia miltiorrhiza (redroot sage). RNAcentral's name for it is "long non-coding RNA (SMIL_LNC007328)". The record is from RNAcentral. Lineage: Eukaryota; Viridiplantae; Streptophyta; Magnoliopsida; Lamiales; Lamiaceae.
GUUCCGAGAAAAUGCUCUUACAUUCCUCGAGGAUGCUAGUUUCAUUAUCGCUAUAUCAAAUGUGUAACAACAAUCACCAAAAGUUAAUUGAAUUCCUUGAAAAAUAACAAAACAAAUUGGAGAACACCAAUCACAACCGAAUUAUGCAAGAAAAGGUUUAUUGAUUAGUUUAUUAUGAUAAACUAAUCAGCNUUCGAAGACUUUCAGUAAGCCCAUAUCUAGUUAUAAUUUAGUGAUAAAGUAACAAGCUACAUGACCACUAAAAUAUUUGAACAUACCAGUGGACAAUAGUACUAACAGAAUCUCUAUUAACUUCUUAAAAAUUGACAAAAUUAAGGAUACAUAUGAAACCCAAUAAAAGACUUCAGCAAAUUUAGAAAUAAUGAAUACACGCAAGAACACCAUCAAGACAAAUUAAUCGAUAGUUAUUAGAUAAUAGAAAGUAAUACACACUAGGUAGAAUUUUCGCAGAUUGCUAAAGAGAACUAACAUUUCAUCACUUGAAUUGAACCAAGAACAUCAUAAUCUAAACUUAGUUUGUUCUUUCGAACAACUCAUGAAACAGUUUCCAGGCAUAUAUCCAAUCAAAAACAAGGUAGAGAACUCACCUUAUAAGCGACAGCGGAAACAGUACGUGGGACACAUCGGCAAUGGCAGCUGCGGCAGAGCGCGAUGACAGCAGCUCGGCACGGUGAAGGCUGCUCGGGCACGGUGGCGUAGCACAAAUCUGGGCGAGGGCACUGUUGAAACUAUGCAAGAGAUGGUGAGGGAAAAACAGAGAUCAAAAUAGAAAAAAAAAAAUCAAAAUCCCUUACCUCUUCCAGCGAUUGGCAGGCACUAGUCCGCCGGCGGUGAGCUUUAACAGUGGCCUCGAGAGGGUGUGGCAGGGGAGUAAGGCAAUGAGAGGGUGAGUUACAGGCGGGAGAGAGAUUCAGGGCUCAACGAGAGACGCAGCGGAGCGGACCGGCGGUAGUGCAAGAAGGUGAUGCACUGGUCCGCCGGUGACGAAUUCAGUUUUUGAGAGUUUGAGAGAAAAUUAAGGACGUGAUAGAAUUUCUGAUAGUUUUUUUAGGGCUUUUAUUAAUUUUAAAAUGUUAUUCUCUAAAAAAUUGGAUGAGUGACGGAAAUAAUACACUUUGAUAAUUUUUUUUAAAAGCAACUUUUAAUUAUUCUUUUAACUUUUAAAUAACAUCACACUUACAACUAUAGAUUAUUAGGUUCGGUGUUAUAGAUUACUUUUAACUUCUCAUCUAAAACAACAGACAUAUAAGUCUAGUGUCUAUAAGCAUAUUUUUAUGCUAAAAGACCACAUACAAACAUAAUACCACAGACAAAACACAUAUGACCACAGACUUUAACAAAAACCAAUGUCGUAUGCGUAGUGUUAUAUACAAGUUUUGUUGUAGUG